RNAcentral lists this ribosomal RNA (366 nucleotides) under Triticum aestivum (bread wheat). Its description in RNAcentral is "partial small subunit ribosomal RNA". Lineage: Eukaryota; Viridiplantae; Streptophyta; Magnoliopsida; Poales; Poaceae. The record is from RNAcentral.
AUGCCAAGAACUUUAUGCACAAACUCCUCAACAGCUUUGGUGCUAGUAUUAAAUCAGAUUUUGUGCCUGUGGAAACCUUUUGGGCUUUUGGUCGGUUUGCUCUCUCCGAUCUUUGUGUCAGCUGCAAGGAUCGUUGGCUGCAGUGCAGGCCAUCAUGUUUGUCAUGAGAUUGUACAUACACGUGUAUGGAUGCAACGAAUGUGCUUUGGAAGAGAGAUUGAGAGGAAAAAAGGGAAGCAUUCUGGUAUGGCACGAGCAUGUACCUUGCCUUGCAAGCAAGGCAGGCUAUCGUUGCAUUAUCUUUUUCAAUUAUUUUUUUGCGAAUGGUUUUUUUUUUCAUUUUGCUAUUUCACAUUUCACAUCUAA